UUCCAGACUCCUACGGGAGGCAGCAGUGGGGAAUAUUGCACAAUGGGGGAAACCCUGAUGCAGCGACGCCGCGUGAGCGAAGAAGUACCUCGGUAUGUAAAGCUCUAUCAGCAGGGAAGAAGAUGACGGUACCUGACCAAGAAGCUCCGGCUAAAUACGUGCCAGCAGCCGCGGUAAUACGGAGGGUGCGAGCGUUAAUCGGAAUUACUGGGCGUAAAGCGCUCGUAGGCGGUAUGUCAAGUCAAGGGUGAAAUCCCCGCGCUCAACGUGGGAACUGCCUUUGAAACUGGCAAACUGGAGUGUGUGAGAGGAUAGUGGAAUUCCAGGUGUAGGAGUGAAAUGCGUAGAUAUUAGGAGGAACACCAGUGGCGAAGGCGGCCUGCUGGACGAUGACUGACGCUGAGGCUCGAAAGCGUGGGGAGCAAACAGGAUUAGAUACCCUCGUAG
This 447-nucleotide ribosomal RNA is filed under the name uncultured bacterium. RNAcentral's name for it is "partial 16S ribosomal RNA". It matches the Rfam family "Bacterial small subunit ribosomal RNA", at positions 329 to 793 of the family's 1533-position model. The record is from RNAcentral.